CCUACGGGUGACAGCAGUAGGGAAUCUUCCACAAUGGGCGAAAGCCUGAUGGAGCAACGCCGCGUGGGUGAAGAAGGUCUUCGGAUUGUAAAACCCCUUUGUUAGAGAAGCAAGUGCGUGAGCGUAUCUGUCCACGUUUCGACCCUGUCUAACCAGAAAGCCACGGCUAAAUACGUGCCCGCAGCCGCGUUAAUACGUAGGGGGCAAGCCUUAUCCGUAUUGAUUGGGCGUAAAGGGAACGCAGGCGGUCUUUUAAGUCUGAUGUGAAAGCGUUCGGCUUAACCGGAGUAGUGCCUUGGAAACUGGGGUACUUGAGUGGGGGAGAGGUGAGUGGAAUGCGAGGUGUAGCGGUGAAAUGCAUAGAUAUAUGGAAGAACACCGGUGGCGAAGGCAGCGCUCUGG
This 402-nucleotide ribosomal RNA is filed under the name uncultured bacterium. RNAcentral describes it as "partial 16S ribosomal RNA". It matches the Rfam family "Bacterial small subunit ribosomal RNA", at positions 338 to 732 of the family's 1533-position model. The record is from RNAcentral.